RNAcentral lists this ribosomal RNA (431 nucleotides) under uncultured bacterium. Its description in RNAcentral is "partial 16S ribosomal RNA". It matches the Rfam family "Bacterial small subunit ribosomal RNA", at positions 29 to 507 of the family's 1533-position model. The record is from RNAcentral.
AACGAACGCUGGCGGCAGGCUUAACACAUGCAAGUCGAACGCCCCGCAAGGGGAGUGGCAGACGGGUGAGUAACGCGUGGGAACAUACCCUUUUCUACGGAAUAGCUCUGGGAAACUGGAAUUAAUACCGUAUACGCCCUACGGGGGAAAGAUUUAUCGGGGAAGGAUUGGCCCGCGUUGGAUUAGCUAGUUGGUGGGGUAAAGGCCUACCAAGGCGACGAUCCAUAGCUGGUCUGAGAGGAUGAUCAGCCACAUUGGGACUGAGACACGGCCCAAACUCCUACGGGAGGCAGCAGUGGGGAAUAUUGGACAAGGGGCGCAAGCCUGAUCCAGCCAUGCCGCGUGAGUGAUGAAGGCCUUAGGGUUGUAAAGCUCUUUCACCGAUGAAGAUAAUGACGGUAGUCGGAGAAGAAGCCCCGGCUAACUUCGUG